Long non-coding RNA from Bombyx mori (domestic silkworm), 2624 nucleotides. RefSeq lists it as uncharacterized. The record is from RefSeq and is a predicted model, not a curated record. The transcript is spliced from 2 exons. Lineage: Eukaryota; Metazoa; Arthropoda; Insecta; Lepidoptera; Bombycidae.
UACUGUUAAAGUGUUUUUAAUCAUGUAUGCGAAUCGAAAAAUAAAUCGUAAUUACUACAAAAGCAGAAUCGUUUUAAUUACUUGGAACUAAAAGCAAUGCUUUAUUUCUAUUAAGGAGUACAAAUUACAGGCAGGGCAGCGCACAUUGUCCAACAGGAGUGACAUGUAACUUAAAUAAUGCUGUUUUGUAAAUAUUAUAUUGAGAUAUCAUAGUAAAACACAUCGAACGCGCAUUUUCAUUUUAUACCACAAUUUGUGUAUGCUGAGUUUGAUUUAGUAGUAGGUAGAUUAUAAUAAUUCAGAUUGUGUUGCUAGAAGUAGUCUGAUGGGUUUUGUAGGUGGACGUUUAAUUUUGAUGUUGUUUAAGUUAUCAAAUGGCAUCAGUAUUACUUUGGAUGUGUAGUGUGAGGAAUUGGACACCAUGAUGGAGAAGCUCACGAAUCCCCGACCAGCCUUGGUUAAUAAUGGUGUUUUGUAAAUUUUAGAUUGACCCACAGAGAAAACAACACAUCGAACGCGAAUUCAUUUUAUACAACAAUUUGUUUUUUUUAAAGAAUUUUAUGACCUGGUAACUAAGACCUUUAGGUCAAGAAUACAAUUUGUGUAUCGGGUUAUACAAUAACAGUAUUGCCAAUUACUUAUUUAGCGCAGAACCGUCGACAAACAUAUCACUGAUUUGGGGGUUUGAUUUCUUUUUUUGUAAGCAUUUAAUGAUACUCUAUAAGAAAUAUCAAUCGUAUACAUUUUUUUAGUUAGUUUUGAGUUUUCUUUUCAAAAACAAUGAUUGAAUUAAAACAUUUUUUACGGUGGCAACUCCGUAAAUUUUUGUCUUUGAUUUUAACAGAAUUUUAGAAAUUAUUUUAAACUUUCGCGUUUAUCCACGUUACAUUACUUGACACCACUACCUGCGGAUCUUACCACGAUUUUCACAUGCAAUGAGUACCACCAGAGAUAUCGGCGCCGAUUUUUUUUGCUACCUAUACUGAUAGCCUUAAUAGGCUAUUUCAGCUUCUCGGGGCUCGAACCGGAGUGUUGCUACGUGUUUAGAGCAACGCCCGGCGCCGUUGCAAUCGAUAUGAUUACGGUUAGACUGAAGAAGAAGAAGAAGACUGCUAGUAGAAGCUAGUGAAGCUAGUGCUAUUGCUAGAGAAGUUCCGAUAAAGCUGUCACCCCGACAAUAUACAUAAACGAUAUCGAUAGUUUUAUCCAAACAAAUUGGUUUCACUGCGUGCCUAUAUAGUAAAUUGUCUUUAAGGUUUUUGCAUAGUUUAUCAAGAUGGGUAAAAACUUUUUUUUUUUAAGAUUUUUAUAUGUUUUCAUGCAAGUCUGUGUAAAAGACAAAAACAAUCAUAACAUAAUACGUAUUUACAAAACAGCAAUUAACAAUUACAUGUACCAGCGUGGACUUUGUGAAUUUUAUAGUAAAUAUUUAUCUAAAUACCUCUUGGAUAGUCGAGAGAAUGAAGUAUAGAAACGUGACAAAGCCAUUAGUGACGAGACUGCGAAUGAUAUGAAAGAACGGCCAAUAAUACGCAAAAAUGUGUGUAUUACGGCAAAGUGUGUGAACGUAAAACAAAUCCAAACAAAACUAAGUUAAUAAUAGAAAUAAUUCAUUUAUACUAAACUAUGGGCGCACAUUGCACAUCCCGCACGUUUCCGCUGCACAUUGGUAGGUAUUUGGUACGCAACUUUUUUAAUAGAUCUACUGCUGUUCAUUUAUUGCCGGACCGGCAUGAACGUACAAUAUACGCCCCGACUUACGAGGUACGAAAAAUCAACAAAACGAUGCGAUUUAUGUAAUAAAAACGGGCAAGGUACGAUACGUCAAAAGGCAAGUUCGAAAAAUCGAAAAUACCUACCAGCUACAAAUUUCGUCACAUGUUGUCUUCUCGCAUUAAAACUGUAUAAUCUCAAAACUUACUAAUUUUACAAGUGUUUUAAAGGUUUAUUAAACAUGUGAUAUUUUUAAUAUAAAUCAUCUUUGCAACAUUUAUUUUUUACCAGUUACAUUAUCUGUCUUUUAAAGUAAGAUAAAAUUAUGUAUUAAUUUUGUUAAUAGAAGUCAAAACAAAGGUAAACUUAAAAAAAAACGAAACUAUGCUCUUUUGACAGUAUUUAUGAGCAAAAAUAGUGGUGAUACCAAAUGAUUCCGCAUAUCGAACACUCAACUUCGAAUAUUUUUGGAAAUUGUACACUUUUAAUGCGAAAAGACGAAUUGUAUCCUGUACUAAAUUCUAUUAAUCGGAACAGUACGGAGUGUGCUUCGCGCAUUGGUUCUCUGUGUGUGGACAUCUUGACUCCAGCAUGAUGUCUGAACGCAGCAUACCUAGCGAUAUCGGCUACACCACACAUUAUCGAAAAUAUUGGCAUAACAAAGGCUUCGCUGUCUUAGAUGAAGAUUUAUGAUUAAAAAAAAACGAUUGACAAAACCCAAAACAUAUGCAACAAAAUAGACAAGGCUUAUUCUUAAUUCCUUAUAAACAAAUUUGAAUUUUGAAUUCCAGAAUUUUUUUAAUUGACUGAUUCACAGAAAUAAAUAAAAUAUCCUUAAAACCUAACUAAAUGUUGUAAAAUAAAUUUUAUGAGUUUAUUAUAAUGAAAUAAAGAGUGGUUUAUUCAAAAAA